RNAcentral lists this ribosomal RNA (445 nucleotides) under uncultured bacterium. RNAcentral's name for it is "partial 16S ribosomal RNA". It matches the Rfam family "Bacterial small subunit ribosomal RNA", at positions 354 to 796 of the family's 1533-position model. The record is from RNAcentral.
GUAAGGAAUAUUGGACAAUGGACGCAAGUCUGAUCCAGCCAUGCCGCGUGAAGGAUUAAGGUCCUCUGGAUUGUAAACUUCUUUUAUAAGGGACGAAAAAAGGCUUUUCUAAGUCGUCUGACGGUACCUUAUGAAUAAGCACCGUCUAACUCCGUGCCAGCAGCCGCGGUAAUACGGAGGGUGCAAGCGUUAUCCGGAUUCACUGGGUUUAAAGGGUGCGUAGGCGGGCAGGUAAGUCAGUGGUGAAAUCCUAGAGCUUAACUCUAGAACUGCCAUUGAUACUAUCUGUCUUGAAUAUUGUGGAGGUAAGCGGAAUAUGUCAUGUAGCGGUGAAAUGCUUAGAUAUGACAUAGAACACCUAUUGCGAAGGCAGCUUACUAUGCAUAUAUUGACGCUGAGGCACGAAAGCGUGGGGAUCAAACAGGAUUAGAAACCCGUGUAGUCC